UGAAUAUCUCAUUGAUUGAAAUCUCCAUUAUGACUUUUUAGUAUAUUUAAUAACAUGGGAACAACUAAGUGCCACUUAACUGAUUUUAUUUUAAAAGCAGUUUUUCACAUUUUUCAUAAUUUGUUUUCAACUUUAUAGGCACCAUUUGCUUUAUGUUCUAUAAAUUUUAAACACAUACUUAAAACUAUAACAUUAUUAAAAUAUGAAAAUAUUGAUAUGCAUUAGCUAAAGCUUAGCAUCCACUAGGAGGAGCUGAGUGCUUUAUCAAAUAUAUAUGAAAUUUAUGUCUAAAAACUUUUAAUAAAAUAUUAUCAGUAUGUUGAGAUUAAUACUGAUAAACACAAUAUUAAAUUGAGACAAAUUGAAUGUUAUGGUUUAUAAUAACUUGGAAGCUAAAAGUAAAGAAUAAAUUUUAUUGUAUGCUUUUAGCUAAUUAGAUUACUGAGUAGUUUGAAGUAACUAAAAUUCUACACGUUUGAUGUCUUUUAACAUCAAAGAUUCUUGUAAAUUUUUUGUAUAUUGUACAAAGUUAAACUGCAUUAUAACCAAUUUAAUACAAAGUAGAUCUAAAAGUAGGAUGUAGAAAAAUGCAGGGCAAGGAAUCUCUCCGAAUCUGUGAUUCUGAGUGCUGCCCAAUUUGUGAAUUGUUCAUUGUUCAGAUAAACUCCUUUAAAUUUAAUUAGAAGUUUUUCUUUUAACAGAUAGUGUCAGAAGGGUGGUCAAAGUAGAACUUUAAUGAUACUCCCGGAUAGCUGAGUGAACAAGCAAGGUACCUGCAAGGACCCACUUGUGUCCUUUGAUGUCUCACAGCAGUGGGUUUUGGGGUACCUAUAAUGAGCAGAGCAUGCAAGACAGUUGCGUAGGUACACACAUGGCAGUGUGCUUUGCUUUUCUUCUCCCCUUCACCCACAUUUGGCAUUUCUCCCCAGGCUAUCCCUCCCCACCUCCCCCUCCCACUGGCCCUCCCCUUUUCCCCCCAAUAGACCCCAGUGUUUAGUACUCCCCUUUCUGUGUCCAUGUGUUCUCAUUUUUCAUCACCCACCUAUGAGUGAGGAUAUGCGGUGUUUCAUUUUCUGUUCUUGUGUCAGUUUGCUGAGGAUGAUGUUUUCCAGAUUCAUCCAUGUCCCUACAAACAACACGAACUCAUCAUUUCUGAUUGCUGCAUAAUAUUCCAUGGUGUAUAUGUGCCACAUUUUUCCAAUCCAGUCUAUUAUCAAUGGGCAUUUGGGUUGAUUCCAGGUCUUUGCUAUUGUAAACAGUGCUGCAAUGAACAUUCGUGUACAUGUGUCCUUAUAGUAGAACGAUUUAUAGUCUUUUGGAUAUAUACCCAGUAUUGGGAUUGCUGGGUCAAAUGGAAUUUCUAUUUCUAAGGCCUUGAGGAAUCGCCACACUGUCUUCCACAAUGGUUGAACUAAUUUACACUCCCACCAACAGUGUAAAAGUGUUCCUUUUUCUC
This 1456-nucleotide long non-coding RNA is filed under the name Callithrix jacchus (white-tufted-ear marmoset). Its description in RNAcentral is "lncRNA (ENSCJAG00000077356.1)". The record is from RNAcentral. Lineage: Eukaryota; Metazoa; Chordata; Mammalia; Primates; Cebidae.